UAUGGAAUUGUCCAGCCGCCGCGGUAAUACGUAGGGAGCAAGCGUUGUCCGGAUUUACUGGGUGUAAAGGGUGCGUAGGCGGAUUGGCAAGUCAGAAGUGAAAUCCAUGGGCUUAACCCAUGAACUGCUUUUGAAACUGUUAGUCUUGAGUGAAGUAGAGGUAGGCGGAAUUCCCGGUGUAGCGGUGAAAUGCGUAGAGAUCGGGAGGAACACCAGUGGCGAAGGCGGCCUACUGGGCUUUAACUGACGCUGAGGCACGAAAGUGUGGGUAGCAAACAGG
Molecule: ribosomal RNA, 280 nt
Filed under: Neglectibacter timonensis
Lineage: Bacteria; Bacillati; Bacillota; Clostridia; Eubacteriales; Oscillospiraceae
Description: partial 16S ribosomal RNA
Rfam family: Bacterial small subunit ribosomal RNA
Source: RNAcentral